CCUACGGGAGGCAGCAGUGAGGAAUAUUGGUCAAUGGGCGAGAGCCUGAACCAGCCAAGUCGCGUGAAGGAUGACGGCCCUACGGGUUGUAAACUUCUUUUGUCAGGGAGCAAGUGGGUCCACGCGUGUGCUUAGCGAGAGUACCUGAAGAAAAAGCAUCGGCUAACUCCGUGCCAGCAGCCGCGGGAAUACGUAGGAUGCUGGCGUGAUCCGGAUUUAUUGGGUUUAAUGGGUGCGUAGGCGGAAGAUCAAGUCAGUGGUAAAAAUUCGGGUCUAAACCCAGUAGUGCAGUUGAAACUGAUGUUCUUGAGUGCGGGAGAGGUAUGCGGAAUGCGUGGUGUAGCGGUGAAAUGCAUAGAUAUCACGAAGAACUCCGAUUGCGAAGGCAGCAUACCGGCGUCCAACUGACGCUGAAGCACGAAAGCGUGGGUAUCGAACAGGAUUAGAUACCCGGGUAGUC
RNAcentral lists this ribosomal RNA (460 nucleotides) under uncultured bacterium. RNAcentral describes it as "partial 16S ribosomal RNA". It matches the Rfam family "Bacterial small subunit ribosomal RNA", at positions 338 to 795 of the family's 1533-position model. The record is from RNAcentral.